GACGAACGCUGGCGGCGUGCCUAAUACAUGCAAGUAGAACGCUGAAGGAGGAGCUUGCUUCUCUGGAUGAGUUGCGAACGGGUGAGUAACGCGUAGGUAACCUGCCUGGUAGCGGGGGAUAACUAUUGGAAACGAUAGCUAAUACCGCAUAAUAUUGACUAUUGCAUGAUAGUCAGUUGAAAGGUGCAACUGCACCACUACCAGAUGGACCUGCGUUGUAUUAGCUAGUUGGUGGGGUAACGGCUCACCAAGGCGACGAUACAUAGCCGACCUGAGAGGGUGAUCGGCCACACUGGGACUGAGACACGGCCCAGACUCCUACGGGAGGCAGCAGUAGGGAAUCUUCGGCAAUGGACGGAAGUCUGACCGAGCAACGCCGCGUGAGUGAAGAAGGGUGUCGGAUCGUAAAGCUCUGUUGUAAGAGAAGAACGAGUGUGAGAGUGGAAAGCUCACACUGUGACGGUAUCUUACCAGAAAGGGACGGCUAACUACGUG
This 495-nucleotide ribosomal RNA is filed under the name uncultured bacterium. Its description in RNAcentral is "partial 16S ribosomal RNA". It matches the Rfam family "Bacterial small subunit ribosomal RNA", at positions 28 to 507 of the family's 1533-position model. The record is from RNAcentral.